RNAcentral lists this transfer-messenger RNA (355 nucleotides) under Rhizobiaceae bacterium. It matches the Rfam family "Alphaproteobacteria transfer-messenger RNA". From Rfam's summary of the family: Bacterial tmRNA, also known as 10Sa RNA or SsrA, is named for its dual tRNA and mRNA-like properties. The record is from RNAcentral. Lineage: Bacteria; Pseudomonadati; Pseudomonadota; Alphaproteobacteria; Hyphomicrobiales; Rhizobiaceae.
CCUCUUCCCUUCCGCCGCCGUCCCCCCUAUAUUCGGCGGGUCAGCUUGCCUGACUAUGGCGAUAAACGGCCGAUGCAAUAAACCAUUCGGACCCGGGGGCGGUACCCGGCGCCUCCACCACAAAUCGCUGGACGAGCGGUUUGUGCCGGGGGCGAAACAGGAUCGACGAGGGUGUAAAGAUCGGACUUUUGCCCGGCAUUGUACCACCGUUAUCGGGCUAAUCUUAUAGUUGCCAACGACAACUAUGCGGAAGCGCGUCUCGCCGCUUAAUGCGGUGCGAUAGCUUCAAUUGAAGUCCUGGAGGUUCGCACUUCCAGGCGGGGUUCGGAGGCACCUGGCAACAGAAGCCUCCACU